UAUAAAAAUAAAAGGAACAUGUCGCCUUUUCUUCAGCCCCGAGCAGCUGCGCCGCCAGAGCUCGCGAACCUUACCGCAACCUCGACUCCUCCGCGUCCGGUGCGCUGCCGGAGCAUCCGUCGCCUGCCGGCGAGCUCACAAGCGAGCAGCAUCCGCCCUCUCCUGCGUUGCCUUUUUCCCGUCCUUCCCUGCUCCUCUCUCACCUCUCUCUGCCUUGCCUCCACAGGAACAUCGGGAUGUCGCCGGCAUGCGGAACGAAGCCGCCCCAACUGGAUCCACGCCCUCCGCCAUCGCCCGCUCUCCCGCCGUCCUUCCUCACCUCGAAUUGGUCAUGCCGGUAGCCGUCGUUGCCAGAUCCUAGCUUGGUCGCCCGGUAGAAGAUCCAGCACCCUAUGCCUUGCCACCUCACGCCUCUCACCGUCGAGGGCGGCAGGAACGACGGAGUCGUGCAUGUGUCGGCUCCUAUGUGGUGCGUGCGGAGCCACCGGCCCGCGGAACGGCUGCAGGCCUGGAGCGCGCCCUGCCUCGAGCGACACGCAUGCAUGGUUGGCGGCCGAGACAUCAGAGGAGCUUCAGCAGAAACAAGGCUGCCGAGCCAAAUUUGCUGAACUAGGCUGCCAAGUUUGAGGUAAAAAAAUCAGCAGGGAAGUAUCUAUCCUGAAUUUUCUGCAGUACAUAAAUUUACCCAUAGAAUAUAUCUCUAAUAGUACCCUGUCCAAAAUGUUAGUGCUAUUUUUGCAAUUUUGCAAGCGAAAUUUGUGCCAAGUGCAUUGCUUAAUAUAUCUCUAAUAGUAUCUGUCCAUUGCUAUUUCCGAGAUCUUCCAUCAAUUUCUAUUACAAUAGAAAAAUGGUCUCUGUCACAUAUAUAGUAUGCACUAGGAAAUCAUGAUUCAUGGGCAGAUGAUAUAUACAAUGGUUGAUAACAAUUACUUCAGGGUCUCCAUUCUACUAUUUUUUACAUACUCAACAAAUUUGUGACAUCUGAUCUGGUAGAGAAAACAGUCUAUGAUAUUCUAUUCUUACCUACACAUAAUUCCGUAUUGAUGACUUAGCAUUCAACAUGGUUCAGUUUCUAGCCUGUAUACAUCAGUAUUAUUAUGAGCCACCUAGAAAGUUUUUGGUCUUUUAGUUUCAGUUAUAGUCAUGGACUGGGCACAAUUCACAGAAUAAGAAAAUGUAUCAAGCAUUAAUUUUAUAUGCGUGAAGCAUUUUACAAUUAAUUUCUACUAUGGAAAAAGCAUUCAUCAGCUAGCUGAACAAACAGACAUUGUAUGACAAUGCGAAUAAGCACACUAAAUGUUACAAGUCAUAGUACUUCCAAGCUAUUUUUACAAAUGCAUUUCACUGGACUAUGUUCUGAUUACCUUUUUCUUAAGCUUCAUAAGGUUAUUUUGGAUUCAAAUGACAAUCUGCAACUUUUCAUAUUUUUUAAUAGUACUGAGGACCAAAUUUAGAAAAUUCUAAACGGGUGGUGAGUUCAAUCAGGUGAAAAAUUGUAGGUCGAACAUGAAAGGAUGCACAUUCAUUUUUGAAGUUGAAAAUAAUGUUUCAUGAAGCAAACUUGAGGUAUCAAUCAAGUCUCACUUUUUUUAUUUGUAUAAUUGGUUGACAUAUGAGAUGCCUUAGGAUGUCUCAUAGUGAUACUCAUGAUUUUUUGUUGUGCAAAAAAAUAUAGUAUACACCAAGAGUUGUAUAAAUCUGUAAAGGGUAACAUACCUGCAGUACAAGAAAUUAUAAGAAGUAAAUAGCAUCGAAAGGAAACAAUCGUUGCUUUUUUUUGGAUGGAAAUAGGUGAGAUCUAUUAAGCAAUAAUAGGGUUAGGAAUGAUGGUUGCUGAUAGCUAUACAUUUUUAUGGAUAGUCAUAUACCUGGAUGUCAUCCUUCAAACAUGAAUACCUGAAUUCUUAUAGAACAUAAAUGAUAUUGUUUAGUUGUCCUUUCUAGAGUCUCUUUUGCGUCAUGGUAUAUCUGUUAUCGAGAAUGAUGCUCAGAAAAUUCUUCGUUCCUUGCCAAAUGACAUUUUGUUUUGACUCGAUAACACCAGGUAACAUGGUGGAUGUCGCAACACACAACAGUUAAAAUGUAGCGACAUAGAGAUAUGAAAGGGCAAAUCAUCUUAGCUAUAGUGUAUGGACAAAAUAGCAUUGAUUAAUGAUGCUGAGAGCUAGCUCUUGCCGCAUUAUCAUCUAUCUAUAGCUUUCAAGGACCAGUAAUUGUACGAUUGUAUCAUGUGAUUGGUACUACAAAAUAUAAAAUCUUUGUGUAUUAAUAUCUUAAUUUCAAGAUUAAUUGGAGAAAGGAGUGUCCUCUACGUUUUCCAAUCUGUCAGUCAAUGUGUAAAUCUGGUAUUGAUGUACAGUUAUUAUUAAGAAAGUUUUCUUUUGCAGAUAUAAUGCUAAUGAUAGGAAGCGUGGUCUAAAACUGCUCUGGCUGGAGUUGUAUGCUUUGUGACUGAAGACUAGAGCUUGGUGUCAUGGUGACUUGCAGCCACUCCUGAUGGUCCUGCCACCCAACUUUUACUCUCCCGAAUUUCCUUAUUUUCAUAUUAACACUGCUAUUGGGGUCAAUCUAUGUUGUUUACUGCUCUAAUCAAGCUAUUGCUAGGAUUCCAUGUUUCCUACAUUGUAUUAUACUGAUCAUUAGUAAUUCAACCUACAUUGUAUUAUAAUGGUCAUUAGUUGAAUGUUGAUUCUGUGAUAAUCUUAAUACAUCCAUGGCUGUCGAGGAAAUAGGGAAAAUGUAUAAACUGGUGAAAUAUCACACAUUAACCUCUUCCUAGAUUUGAGCUAAGAUCAUAUGGGUUCGGCCGUGCAUGUCCAUACACAGUGCAUCGGGUUAAUGUGCCUGAAGCGAAAGGACUCAUGACAUAUUGACGAAGUGCACAUGUUGAGUUAAAAAUGUGUACAUUUGUUUUUUCUAUUACGAAACAUUUGAUGAUUUUUUGUUUUGAUCUUAAUCAAAAUGCUACAGAAGCAAGUCAAGGUUUAGUUACUGUAAUUUUACUUACUGCUAUUCCACUCUGUUCUCUAGAAAGAAAAAUAAAUUAUGGAUGAAUUGCAGUGAUAAGCUAUCAAAAGAGACAUACAUUUACUUAUAUCGCUCAAUAUUCAAUUGAUCGAUUAGUUUUUAGUUACGAAAGUGUGAUGUUUCAAAACUGAAAAACGAACUAUUGGUUUAGUAAUUAAUUACAAAACACAACUAAGCAUGGAAAGAAGUGGAUAAUUGUUUUGGCGUCACCUACUUAUGUAAUAUUUGUUCCUGUAUGCACAUUUCUUUCUCUUUUCCAGUUAUGUGACAUGAUUGUCUGAAGUUUAAUGCAACCCUCAAAAUGUUUCUUGACUGAAUGUUUUCUUUAUGAGGUUGCAUUCGUGCAAACAAGAAAAUUCAUUGUGCUAGAUUGGCCUGCAGGUAAUAUCAAUGUAAUAUCUCUUAUGAGUUACGAUAGAUGUUCUCGGUCUGUACAUCUUCCACUAAAGUACUAUUUUUUGUCUCUCACCGAUUUGUGGUACAACAAUUAGCAACAUCAAUCUAAUCUAAUCAAAUAAAUAGAGGAUGCAAGUAGUAGAUAUUGGAUGUAGUUAUAAUACUUUAAAAGACUAGUGUUGCUACCUUGAGAACUUUGUUCUCCUAUAUGCAAACAUAUAAUUAACAUCAUAUAUCCAUACGCAGAUAGAUGUCAUUUCUUCAACUGUGCUUGGCCUAAAAAUUACUGAUCUAUGUACGUGGAGAAUAAAAGAUAGUUUGAAUGUGCAGCUCAAUUGUAAACCAUAUCUAUUUGGGCCUUCAAUGUGUGGAUUAUAUAUCAUUUGAUAUUUAUGACAAUGAGUGAAUGCUUCAUGCAUCAGUAUAUUAUACUGGGCUUUUGAUUCAAAUACGAAUUUCUCCAACUAUCUUUUGUGCCCAAUGUAGUCUCUUCCUCAGCGUUGGGGAGUUCGGAUGGUUAUCAGAAUCAAUUGGGGCAUGCUCUCAACAACACUAUUCACAUGGUUGAGGUGGCAGAGCAGCUAAGCUAGAUGGUGACCUCACCCUAUAGAUGGAGGCGAGCCGCAGAGGGCCUUGCCACGGCAUUGUGAAGGAAAUCAAUAAUUACUUAUUCCUAGUUUGUUGUUUUAUAAUUAGUAGUACCUAUAUUUACUCAAUAAACGAGAAAGUCCGAUGCAUUGCUCAUGAUCCCCUUUUGUGGGGUUGUAAUCUUGAUGAAGAAAGAAAUGUAUAUUUGCGCUGUAAAAUGUUUCUUUGCCUUUUGGUGGUCUGGCCAUGCAAAACACUCAA
Long non-coding RNA from Triticum aestivum (bread wheat), 4272 nucleotides. RefSeq lists it as uncharacterized. The transcript is spliced from 2 exons. The record is from RefSeq and is a predicted model, not a curated record. NCBI's taxonomy places the organism in Eukaryota, Viridiplantae, Streptophyta, Magnoliopsida, Poales, Poaceae.